RNAcentral lists this ribosomal RNA (116 nucleotides) under Candidatus Nomurabacteria bacterium. The record is from RNAcentral. Lineage: Bacteria; Candidatus Nomuraibacteriota.
GGGGGUGUCAUAGCGGUGUGGUCCCACCUGAUUCCAUCUCGAACUCAGAAGUGAAACGCGCCUGCAGUGAAGAUAGUGCUGAGGUAGCUCAGUGUGAAAAUAGCUCGAUGCCCCCA